RNAcentral lists this ribosomal RNA (1478 nucleotides) under Chryseobacterium sp. BBTR48. RNAcentral describes it as "bacterial SSU rRNA". It matches the Rfam family "Bacterial small subunit ribosomal RNA". Lineage: Bacteria; Pseudomonadati; Bacteroidota; Flavobacteriia; Flavobacteriales; Weeksellaceae. The record is from RNAcentral.
AGAGUUUGAUCAUGGCUCAGGAUGAACGCUAGCGGGAGGCCUAACACAUGCAAGCCGAGCGGUAGAGAUUCUUCGGAAUCUUGAGAGCGGCGUACGGGUGCGGAACACGUGUGCAACCUACCUUUAUCAGGGGGAUAGCCUUUCGAAAGGAAGAUUAAUACCCCAUAAUAUAUUGAAUGGCAUCAUUUGAUAUUGAAAACUCCGGUGGAUAGAGAUGGGCACGCGCAAGAUUAGAUAGUUGGUAGGGUAACGGCCUACCAAGUCAAUGAUCUUUAGGGGGCCUGAGAGGGUGAUCCCCCACACUGGUACUGAGACACGGACCAGACUCCUACGGGAGGCAGCAGUGAGGAAUAUUGGACAAUGGGUGAAAGCCUGAUCCAGCCAUCCCGCGUGAAGGACGACGGCCCUAUGGGUUGUAAACUUCUUUUGUAUAGGGAUAAACCUUUCCACGUGUGGAAAGCUGAAGGUACUAUACGAAUAAGCACCGGCUAACUCCGUGCCAGCAGCCGCGGUAAUACGGAGGGUGCAAGCGUUAUCCGGAUUUAUUGGGUUUAAAGGGUCCGUAGGCGGAUCUGUAAGUCAGUGGUGAAAUCUCAUAGCUUAACUAUGAAACUGCCAUUGAUACUGCAGGUCUUGAGUAAAGUAGAAGUGGCUGGAAUAAGUAGUGUAGCGGUGAAAUGCAUAGAUAUUACUUAGAACACCAAUUGCGAAGGCAGGUCACUAUGUUUUAACUGACGCUGAUGGACGAAAGCGUGGGGAGCGAACAGGAUUAGAUACCCUGGUAGUCCACGCCGUAAACGAUGCUAACUCGUUUUUGGGACUUCGGUUUCAGAGACUAAGCGAAAGUGAUAAGUUAGCCACCUGGGGAGUACGUUCGCAAGAAUGAAACUCAAAGGAAUUGACGGGGGCCCGCACAAGCGGUGGAUUAUGUGGUUUAAUUCGAUGAUACGCGAGGAACCUUACCAAGACUUAAAUGGGAAAUGACAGGUUUAGAAAUAGAUCCUUCUUCGGACAUUUUUCAAGGUGCUGCAUGGUUGUCGUCAGCUCGUGCCGUGAGGUGUUAGGUUAAGUCCUGCAACGAGCGCAACCCCUGUCACUAGUUGCUAACAUUCAGUUGAGGACUCUAGUGAGACUGCCUACGCAAGUAGAGAGGAAGGUGGGGAUGACGUCAAAUCAUCACGGCCCUUACGUCUUGGGCCACACACGUAAUACAAUGGCCGGUACAGAGGGCAGCUACACAGCGAUGUGAUGCGAAUCUCGAAAGCCGGUCUCAGUUCGGAUUGGAGUCUGCAACUCGACUCUAUGAAGCUGGAAUCGCUAGUAAUCGCGCAUCAGCCAUGGCGCGGUGAAUACGUUCCCGGGCCUUGUACACACCGCCCGUCAAGCCAUGGAAGUCUGGGGUACCUGAAGUCGGUGACCGUAAAAGGAGCUGCCUAGGGUAAAACAGGUAACUAGGGCUAAGUCGUAACAAGGUAACC